AGCUUUGCGCAGUGGCAGUAUCGUAGCCAAUGAGGUUUGUCCGAGGCGCGAUUAUUGCUAAUUGAAAAAUCAGUCAAUUUAAUUCACUAUGUUGGCCAGCUAGAGCUUAUAUGAUCGUAUCAAUCAAUG
Molecule: small nuclear RNA, 129 nt
Filed under: Zalophus californianus (California sea lion)
Lineage: Eukaryota; Metazoa; Chordata; Mammalia; Carnivora; Otariidae
Description: U4 spliceosomal RNA (ENSZCAG00015006867.1)
Rfam family: U4 spliceosomal RNA
About the family: U4 small nuclear RNA (U4 snRNA) is a component of the major U2-dependent spliceosome.
Source: RNAcentral